Molecule: ribosomal RNA, 305 nt
Filed under: uncultured bacterium
Lineage: Bacteria
Description: bacterial SSU rRNA
Rfam family: Bacterial small subunit ribosomal RNA
Source: RNAcentral
GAGGACCUACGGAGGGCAGCAGUGGGGGAUAUUGCACAAUGGGGGCAACCCUGAUGCAGCGACGCCGCGUGAGCGAUGGAGUACUUCGGUAUGUAAAGCUCUGUCAGCAGGGAAGAGAAUGACGGUACCUGACCAAGAAGCCCCGGCUAAAUACGUGCCAGCAGCCGCGGUAAUACGUAUGGGGCAAGCGUUAUCCGGAUUUACUGGGUGUAAAGGGAGCGUAGACGGCUGUGCAAGCCAGAUGUGAAAGCCCGGGGCUCAACCCCGGGACUGCAUUUGGAACUGUGUGGCUGGAGUGUCGGAGG